Long non-coding RNA from Alexandromys fortis (reed vole), 2853 nucleotides. RefSeq lists it as uncharacterized. NCBI's taxonomy places the organism in Eukaryota, Metazoa, Chordata, Mammalia, Rodentia, Cricetidae. The transcript is spliced from 2 exons. The record is from RefSeq and is a predicted model, not a curated record.
GGGCCACGCCCCUCCCCGCUCUACCCUGGUUAACACCUCCCCGGGGUGCGCGCGCCCGCCCGCGCCUGAGGUCCCGCCUCCGCGGUGGAGACAGCCAAUCGCGGCCCGCUCUCACUGCGCACCGGUGACGGCGCGAGGGAAGGGGCGGGGCUACGGAGGCCGGUCGCUCCGGGCGGCCGCACCCUCGCUCUAGGUGCGGAGCAGGGCGGUCCCGCCCGGUGACUUGUAGCUACCUGACCCGAACCUCCAAGCACGCACCCCGCCCUCUUCUGCCGCUGGCUCCGUCCAGGCCGUUACUGUAAAGCGAGCUCCAGGAAGCUGCCACAGGAGGAGCCCUGUGUGGGGUCUGCCUGGCCUCCAGAGUGAGACCUUGCCUCAGAAUAGAUGAGUGGAAAUAGGCGUGCAUGAGGAACAGGAGGAGCGGUCCUAGCGGGAAAGCACCCAGCAUGAGGGACUCUUCAAAUUUCGAGUAUGGCUUUAAUGGAGACGUGCAGGGGUACCUCUUGUGGGCUUGUCUGGGUUUCAUUAAGGUUUUUUGCUAUCUGGGAGAGUUCAAUCUUGUCUGCCCUAUUGUGCAAAGGAAAUGUUUGUUUGGGGACAACCUCAAGGUUGGAAAUGUCCCACUCUUUAAGUAGUGAUGGGCAGAGUCACGAGGGGUAUUUUAGUUACUAUUGUGAUUGCUACUUUUUUUUUGUUUUUUUUCGAGACAGGGUUUCUCUGGUUUUGGAGCCUGUCCUGGAACUAGCUCUUGUAGACCAGACUGGUCUCAAACUCACAAGAGCCUCGCCUCCCUAGUGCUGGGAUUAAAGGCCUGCUACUGUUUUUUAAGCAAGGUCUGAACCUCUAGCUCAGUACCCCAGACUGGCCUUGAACUUGUGAUUGUCCCUAACUGCAGAUCUCCUAACUGCAGAGCUGGCAAGCACCACCACGCUAGCAGGAAGGUCCAGUGGCUUAAAAACAGGUGUGGAAAACAAACAAACACUGCCUUCAGCUGGGGCUGAAGGGUCUCAGUGCAAGUUCAAGGACAGCCAAGGCUGUUAAACAAAUAAACAAACAAAACCAAGGUGGACUGCUCCUGAGGAGUGGCUCCCUCAGUCCUCGGGCCUUCCUGUACUCACUUAAACCUGUGCAUCCUAUAACCUGCCCUCCUCCUCUGUGUUCAGCAAAUGUACACAUACAUGAAGUUGUGUUUGCAUUUACUGUGUGUGAACCUGGUUUGGUGCCCAUGUGGAGGUCAGAGAACAGCUUCUGGGAGUCAGUUCCUUCCAACAUGUAUGUCCCAGAGAUUGGAUUUAGACUUUAAGGCUUGGCAGCAUGGGCCUUUAUCUGCUGAACUGUCUUGCUGACCCCUAGACACAAAAUAUUUUUUUUUUGUUUUUUUUUUGACACUUCUUGCCAUGUAGCCUUAGCUGGCCUGGAACUCAAGCUCUGCCUGCCCCUGAAUACUGGGGUUAAAAGUGUGCUCAGCCUCACCAGCCUCAGACCCUUAGCCAGGAGCAAAACAGUAUGUUUGGACUGAGCUGUCUAAAGUCAAGGCCUGCAUCCUGGGAGUAGGUCUAUACUGGCUCAGGGAAGGCGGAGUCAAAUGUGCUGUGGAAUAAUCCUUUUUUUUUUUAAUUUUUUAAAUUUAUUUUAUUAUGUAUACAAUAUUCUGUCUGCAUGUAUGCCUGUAGUCCAGAAGAGGGCACCAGACCUCAUUACAGAUGGUUGUGUUCCACCAUGUGGGUUGCUGGGAAUUGAACUCAGGACCUUUGGAAGAGCAGGCAAUGCUCUUAACCACUGAGCCAUCUCUCCAGCCCCUGGAAUAAUACUUGUGCACACUGUGAAGAUGCAUUGCUCUCGUUAUUAAUAAGCUGAUUGGCUGAUGGUUAGGCAGGAUUUGGGGGGCAGAGAGAACGCUGAGAAGAGGCUGAGAAGAGGAGGGACAAAGUCUCGGGAGUCACAAAGAGAUUCCUUGAGACUCAGCGCACAGGAUGGGAAGUGCGCAGAGGAGGUAAAUGAGCCUGGGGGCAGGCAGCACAUAGAUGCAUAGAAACGUUAAUUUACCAUCUCAGAGCUGCCCAGGCCACACACAGAGUAAAGCCUGGAAGAGCUUGCUGGACUGAGCCCUUACACGGGGCACUGGUGUGUGAUGUGGCUCAAAUGUUGAUAAAGCAUUAAAGAAUUUUGCUAUUGCUAGGUGGUGGUGGUACGCACCUAUAAUCCCAUCACUCUGGAGGCAGAGGCAGGUGGAUCUCUGUGAGUUUGAGGCCUCUCUGGUCUAGGAUAGCCAGAACUACGCAAAGAAACCCUGUCUCUUAAAACAAAUGCAAAACAAAAUUUACUAUUGCUCUUUUCAACUCCUUACCUGUUGAAAAACAUGGCAGCUCCAUUAACCAGCACCACCAUUGCUAGGUGCAAGUCUGCGAUAAAGAGUUAUGUCCAAAUGGGCUGUGGUGGCACAUAGCUUUGAUUCUAGCACCAAAGAGGCUGAAACAGGAGGAUGUCUAAUUCCAGGGCAGCCUGGAUACAUUACAAGAUACUGCGUCAGAAAAAAGAAGCCAAGGAAGACACAAAACAGAUGCUCAGUGUCCAAAGACGGCAGAACAGACAGCCGGAAGGAGUCUUGCCAGCAAGGCAGAGGACCUGCAUCUGAUCGUCGGAACUCACGUGGCAGAAGAAAAGAACUGGGUCCCUGAAGUUGUUCUCUCAUCCCCAUGCAAACUGUGACGUGUGUACCUCUCCCACGUGCACACAAAGGAAGUGUAAUUUUACACUUUUGGUUGUGAGCCUUGCCUUUAAAGGCUGAGCCAUCUUUCCAUCCCAGUAAGUAUAAUUUUAAAAAGUUGAAUAAACUUAAGUUUGUGUAACAAA